GAAUAUGUGUGCCUCCUGUGCCGAGUGGGGGAACACGUGGGGGAUCAGGACUGGGGUCCAGGCCUUGGAGCCAGGCUUGGGGGGAGGCUGACCCCCACUUACUCUGUCCCCCUCAAAAGCAUCAGCUUUUCUCCAGAAAGUCACCCAAUAUCAAACAGAGAUUUGCCACCCCUAACUGCCUGGCUCCCAAACUCAAACUCUGCCAAGGGCUGGGGUUUGGACCCACAAGGGACUGGGCUCCCCAGGGCCUCAGGAAAAGUAAAUCCCUCUGGACUCUGCGCUCCCUCCAGUGGAGGACCCUAAAAAGCCGCCAGGGAGCUCGAUGCCAGCCAACUCCUAGGUCCCCCUCCCUUCCGGCAGGGAACGCCUUAGAGGGCACCCCUCCUGAGACUGUGGUGGGAACCAGCACAAGCCGGAGCUGCUGCCUGCAGAUUCACAAGGGGCAAGUUUGAAUACGAAUCUGCUGUGUUCCUAUCUGCCAAGUUCCUAUAUGUUUCUGGGGUAAACACUGAGACACGCCAAGAAACAAACACACACAUGCACAACUUCCCUGACCACAAGACUACACACACACACACACACACACACACACACACGUGCAGGCAGGCUCACAAACAGAGCCCAUUGCAAUCACAACACCACACACACACACACACACACACACACACACACACACACACAGUCUUGCUCAACUUCUGAGUCAUCAACAUAACUAGUGGAGGGUUCUGCAGUUUUUGCUGGGGGAGGAGCUGGAGGAGACCAAGGGAUCCAGAGAGGCCUUUACUCCCGGACACCUGAGAGCCCCGGUGUGUGGAAGAGGUGGUGUCUGAGGGGCGGUGGGAGGAAGUUUCUACUCCCCUCCUCCCUCCCAUAGCAGGGGCUGGGCUGAGGGGCCAAAGCUAGGCCUAUGCUGCCCCCUGGUGCCUGAAUUGAUUUCCAGAACCAGCUCCUCCUCCUCCAUCCCUUGCUACCCCGCAGGUCUGUACAUGAGUGCACGUGUGUGGACCCAGCCAGGCAGCAGAGGGUUUGAACACAGCAAAAUAUAGCAGUUAAAAGACUGGACUGUGGAUACAGGCUGCUUGGGUUCAAAUCCUGCUAAUGCUGCUAACCACACAACCCUGAGCAAUUUACUCUGUGAUUCAUUCUCGUCAUCUGUAAAAUGGAGCAAAUAAGUCUUAACCCAUAAUGUGAGAAUAAAAUGCAGUAAAACAUCUGAAGGCUUAGAACAAUGCCUGACACACAGUAACUGUCAGGCACUAUUUUUAUGGUUCAUAAUAAACCAGGUAUGAGGAAAGGAGAAGGGUCUCCAUCCUACAUAGAAGUCCCCAGAUUUGGGGGUCAUGUUACUGCCAAAAGGAUAUUGAGGGUGUAUGUGCGUAUGUGUUUGCU
Molecule: long non-coding RNA, 1389 nt
Filed under: Homo sapiens (human)
Lineage: Eukaryota; Metazoa; Chordata; Mammalia; Primates; Hominidae
Description: non-protein coding lnc-LRP1-4:1
Source: RNAcentral